RNAcentral lists this long non-coding RNA (296 nucleotides) under Strongylocentrotus purpuratus (purple sea urchin). RNAcentral describes it as "uncharacterized LOC115925332". Lineage: Eukaryota; Metazoa; Echinodermata; Echinoidea; Camarodonta; Strongylocentrotidae. The record is from RNAcentral.
UAAUCCGCUACUCUGCAGUGAUUUUCUUUCACUCCAGUAUCGUUUGUACGUUGCAGCAUCAUCAAACACUAUAUGGCCGAUGAAUCAGAAGAUGACGUAGAUGCUACGAGAGAGCUCAUUUCACAAUGGACAACAGAAGUGAUACGUGACUUUCUACAAGGAGGGGACUCAAGCUUGGAGAAGUCAUUAUUUUAUGGGUGUUCUCUGCCCUGACGCUGGGGGUACUGUUCAGCCAUUCGAGGUAGAGAGGUAGAGAGGUAGAGAGGAACUGGACGAUGGAUGGAUGGGGGGGGGGG